UGUGAAUUUUCUUUGUUCUGUAGCCAAGUUCACAGCACGGGAGGUGGUUACCUGGCUUCCCAGAGUCCUUCAGGCCAGGUCAAUCCCGGGGGUUAUUGUCUAGUCAACAGAACAGUCUCUCAUUACUUGUUAGGGUCACUCCUGAAUCAUCGUGGCCAGGCUCUUCAAGGACCACAUAACAUUCAACUUUGAACCCAUUUUAUUCAUCAGAGUGACUCUCUUCCCUUGAAUGUGAUCAGUGUCAGGAAGUUAGGUUCGCAAAGUAAGAGUCUAUUUUUAUGGUGGAGGACAUUUAAGAAGUCAUCCAAAUGCCUGCAUAAUUCUUAAAAUUUCACAAGAGAACAAAUGGUCUCUCUGCGACCUAAGAAUCUUCUAUAACAUAAGAAUAAAUCCAUAACUACAUAAUUCUCCAUUCAAUAUUUUUAAGCGUUUUCUAGACACUUGUGGAAACCUGGUCCCAGUGGAAAGAGUGGCGUACGAUGUCCUCACUGAACUGGAGAAGACGUUUAGCCUGCCACUUCUGGAAGCCUUGUUCAGCAGGGCGAACCUGAAGGCCUGUCCUGAUUUAACUGAGGUUUACCAAAGCUUCCAAAAUGUGUCCUGUGGAUUUGUAGCUCUACCAGAAGAUGAAGUAAGAGAAUCAGAAGAAAUGCCCAGGCUACUACCUUAUGAUGGAGAAGUGACCAAUAAUCCUGAAGCUCCCCAAAUGACCAGUGAAGGAGAGUCAGAGGAGGUGCCUGGCCCACUACCAUGUGAACAAGAAGAGAGCAAAAAUGUGUGUUUGAAAAUGUGUGAUGGAGAAGAGUCCCAAGAAGCUUCAAUCUCAUCACCAAGAAAUGGGUUGGGUAAGAAGAUAAGGAUUUCCAGCCUUGAGCUGCAACGGUAUUAGGAGGUUGAAUCCAGAACUGUUUUUUUUCUGGAUGAAUUUUCCUCUGUGCAAACUUCACAGUGAAAGGAUCCAGGUAAUCCCAAGACUUUUUUUCACAUUUUCUAUACAUGGACCUUUGGGGAAGUGCAGAGAGAAAUCUUUAUCAAGUUCAUGUUUAACACAGUGGGUCUUAUUGUUUGGACAUAUUUGUUCACAUGUUCAUGUUGUAGUAGAAAUAUAUCAGGGAAAGACAAUGUCUUCUCUCCUUCAUACUCUCCAUAGAUAUUAAUACUAAAGAUUUGAUUUCAACCCAUACUCAUUCAUCAUCUUCCAUGGAGAAUAAGAGCAAAGUAUCGUUCCAUUGGUUAAUAGUUUGAUUAUUUUGUUGCAAACUUGGAAAGGCCUCAAAAGAAACAAGGUCUUAAUAUUUUAUUUACAUGAAGCUUACAGAUUGUCCACACUCAACCCAAACUAUAGUUUAUGACAGCUAUUUUCCAUCAUGUUCUGGAAUUAUAGAGUCUAUUUUCAAAGUAUUUUAACAAAUAAGAUCUUCUGUUACCUCACAAAAGAUGGAGGCGGGCAAACUGGGGUAAUCUCUACUUUGUAGAUGAGGAAGUGAAGGUCAGCUAUGUAUACAGACUUUUACAAAGUCAAAUUGUAGAAGAAGAGCAGGAAGAGUGAGUGUCUGUCUGCAGGUGAUGGGUCAGGGCAGGUCACACGGUCCAAGUUCAAGGAGGAGGCCAAAGGAGCCCGGUGAUUCCCAAGCAUGUGGACCGGAGCUGAGCUAGGAUACUUCCUAGGGAAAAGUUAUAAAAAGUAUCACUGGGGAAGCAGAAGACACAAAAGCAAAGACACAGGAGAGAAAGCCGUCCAGAUAGUCAAAAAGAUGCCCAUACAUUCAUGGCACAGAAGGAGAAAUGAACGGAGACGGUGUGUAGAUAGGAAACAAAACAGAAACAAUCUGUAGCACAUGGGGCAGCCCUCUCUAGUGGGUUUUCAGAUCAAGGUGUCCCCAGGUAUCAGAUUGAAUAUUUAUUUAUUGCUUAAUGAUAAUAUUAUUUAGCCGUAACCUUGGAAAGGCCUCAAAAGAAAUGUGGUUCUGAGCGCUCCUUGUCAGAAAGAAAGGUCAGCUGCUCUCAGACCCAGUUAAAGUUGGUGACAGAUAUUCUUCAGUAGGUUAGUGGAUUAUACUGUGGUUUGAGGUUUUUUCCAAAGCACUUGGGCAAAUACCAAAAAAAAAACCCCAAACCCACUGCCAUCAAGUCAAUUCUCAUGAUGACCCCAUGUGCUACAGAGUAGAACUGAGUUCUAUAGGGUUUUUUUGGCUGUAAUCUUCAUGCGAGCAGAUCCCCAGGCCCCAACCGGGUGGGGUUUGAACCACCAACCUUUCUGUUAGUAGCCAAGUGCAAACCAUUCGCAUCACUCAGGGUCCUUUUCUCCUUUUACCUUCAUAAAACCUUUGCACUUAACCAGGGAAACUGUUGUUAUCCCUUUUUAUAGAUAAGAAAGAAGAAGCACAAUAAAAGGAUACUUGUAUUUCCCUAAGACCAAAGUAGGAAGAAGGUGUCCUGAGCCUCUCCUGCAGAUAACGGUUGUGUGAGCCUUGUGGAAAGGUCACAGGCUUCCAGGGGAGUAGACCAGGGGCUGAUGCAGAGAGACUUUUUAUUUCACAAAUGUAGCAUGUUGGUAGGGAAGGGAAGAAAUCACAGAGAGACGGUGGGAUAAAGGUGAGCUGAGAGAAGAAAUGGAUACUGCUAUAUGGGAUUGGAGAGAUCUAGACAUGGAGCAGAGAAAAAGAGAUCAAGAUCACCACUGAGGCAAACAAAGGCUAGAAAAGUGAAGGCAGAGGAGAGGUCAGGGAGAGUGAAGUGCACAAAAACAAAGAUGCCCAAAUACUUCCCUAGGGCAGACACAGAGAUGUCUGGAGGCAGGUCUAUAGGUAGGAAACUGACAAGCAGGGAGAAAGGGAGUGAGGUAAACACGAUGGAAAAGAGGCAGAACAAACCUCCGGUGAACCUCAGGUCUGGUCCUUGGAGCAGACGUAUCUUUUCCCAAGGAGCAGUUCAUCGGCACUUUGGAAACCCUGGCUCAGCCCCAGCACGGUGAGUUCUGCUUCCGGGUCGCCCUCCCUGAACUGUCAUCUCCUUGUUUCUCUUCAGUGUCCUGUGAUCCUGAAGCUCCCCAAAUGACUAAGGAAGUACCUGAGGAGGUGCCUGACCUACUGCCAGCUGGGGAAAAAGGCUACUGUGAUUUCAGCUCCCUAUCAGCUAGUUGAAUCUUUGUUUUUCUCUCUUCAGGGAGGAAAAUCUCCCCCUUCUUCCCUCAUCUAACCCUGCUCCCUUUCGUAUGCCCAUACAGAGGAAAAGGGUCAAUAACAGAGAGAAUUAGGUGUGUGGGAAGGGAGUGAGAUGGAUGGAAUGUUCUCAGCCUCUGGUGACAAUGACUGGAGCCUUAACCUCUAAGACAGGUGAAUCCAAAGGGCCAGGACGUUCCCACCUAGGAGAUACUUGAGCCGCCUCUGUCUUCCUGUUUUUCUGAGUGUGGACUUCCCUGCUGUGGUUUCCCUGGAUCAUACGCUAAAACCUCUAAGAGAUUCCAUUGUGUUCUGCAGAAGGCGGCAAUGCCUGUUUAGAAAUGUGUGGUGAAGAAGA
Trichechus manatus latirostris (Florida manatee) is the source of this 3519-nucleotide long non-coding RNA. RefSeq lists it as uncharacterized. The transcript has 4 exons. NCBI's taxonomy places the organism in Eukaryota, Metazoa, Chordata, Mammalia, Sirenia, Trichechidae. The record is from RefSeq and is a predicted model, not a curated record.